This 228-nucleotide ribosomal RNA is filed under the name uncultured prokaryote. RNAcentral's name for it is "partial 16S ribosomal RNA". It matches the Rfam family "Bacterial small subunit ribosomal RNA", at positions 524 to 751 of the family's 1533-position model. The record is from RNAcentral.
UACAGAGGGUGCGAGCGUUAAUCGGAAUUACUGGGCGUAAAGCGCGCGUAGGCGGCUUUGCAAGUCGGGUGUGAAAUCCCCAGGCUUAACCUGGGAACUGCACUCGAGACUGCAUUGCUAGAGUAUGGGAGAGGGAAGUGGAAUUUCCGGUGUAGCGGUGAAAUGCGUAGAUAUCUGGAGGAACACCGGUGGCGAAGGCGACGUCCUGGACCGGCAUUGACGCUGAGG